RNAcentral lists this long non-coding RNA (812 nucleotides) under Phoenix dactylifera (date palm). Its description in RNAcentral is "long non-coding RNA (PDAC_LNC017805)". The record is from RNAcentral. Lineage: Eukaryota; Viridiplantae; Streptophyta; Magnoliopsida; Arecales; Arecaceae.
GCGGGCGGCGAGACCGCCUGGAUGCCGGGGAGGCGGGGACGGUCGCGGGAUGCCGGGGCCCGAGGAGGCGGGGAGGCGGGCUGGCGGAGGCGCGGCCACGUGGAGAGAGGCGAGGAGGAGACGAGUAGACGACCCAGGCGGCAGCCGGCAGGCAGUCACACCUUCACCUUCACGGAACAGUCGAACAGAGACACAGAGUAGAAGAGGAUUGAGGAAAUAGGAAUGAAGAGCAGAGGAGGAGUGGAGCAGGACGAGAAUUUUAAAGAGAGCCAGAGGGCAGAGAGGAAUGAUGGGCGAUGGCAUCAUGGCCGAUGGGAAUAUGGGAUCGGAUUAAGCCAUUGAGGAGGAGUGGACAGUGGAGCACCCGGCGACCCGCAUCUUGUCGAGGUAGCCGUUGGCUCCUGCCGUCCUGCGGGCUGCGGCCUUACCCUCUGAGGCUCUGACUGUAGUCUGUAGCUAGCUACUAGCUAGGAGCGGGAGCUGGGAGGGUAGAGCGUAGGAUGCCGUCGCGGGGCCUUCUCUCGAGCCGGGGCCUUAGGUGACCGCCUAGGUCGCCUAAGGCUUGGGCCGCCCCUGACUGUGCUAAAGCAAGGCGAAGUAGCUAUAGAAAUUGCCCAGCUUAAUCUAUUAGACAGGCGAGGUUAAAAGCACCAGAUGCAACCCAUCAUUUACCAAUCACUCAAAGUUCCACAGGUAAUCUUAUUAGGGGCACGAAGGUUUGGCCGUUGUCUCGCCACUACAUCCCAAAAGGACAGCUAAGCCGUUGACGAUACAGAUCCUUUGUUAUUUAAUCUUCAAUUUCUAGCCAUUUC